UACGUAGGGGGCAAGCGUUGUCCGGAUUUAUUGGGCGUAAAGCGCUCGCAGGUGGUUCGAUGCGUCGUGCGUGAAAGACCCCGGCUCAACUGGGGAGUGUCGUGCGAUACGGUCGGACUGGAGGCCAGUAGGGGGAUGCGGAAUUCCGGGUGUAGUGGUGGAAUGCGUAGAGAUCCGGAGGAACACCAGCGGCGAAGGCGGCAUCCUGGACCAAUAUUGACGCUGAGGAGCGAAAGCUAGGGGAGCAAACGGG
This 253-nucleotide ribosomal RNA is filed under the name uncultured bacterium. Its description in RNAcentral is "partial 16S ribosomal RNA". It matches the Rfam family "Bacterial small subunit ribosomal RNA", at positions 524 to 776 of the family's 1533-position model. The record is from RNAcentral.